Molecule: long non-coding RNA, 1345 nt
Filed under: Homo sapiens (human)
Lineage: Eukaryota; Metazoa; Chordata; Mammalia; Primates; Hominidae
Description: HSALNT0379883
Source: RNAcentral
AUCAGCUGUAUCUAAACAGAGCAGAGCUCAGGUGACAUCACAGAACAGGCAGAGGCAGUUCAGGGGUAUUCUGGUUGCCUUACCCAGCUCUGAAGUCUGUCAGCCUCUUCAGAUGUCACUUGCCAUGUGGUAAGGAAGUGUAGUCAGCAGCUGGUGCAGUGGGAAGAAGAGAAAGGAAGUUCCCCAAGACAAAAACAUCUCGGCAGACCGUGAUCAUGGGCUACAUUCUCCGUACCAGCUUCAUAGCUCCAGUGAGAAAAUAAAUUCCUGCAUCCAGGAGAUGUGGAGUAAGAGAUACAGCUGCCCUUGACCAUAUUUCUUACUUCCGAGAAGAUCGUAGCAGUAAUUCAGAAUCUCAUCCAGGAUACCUCAUCACAGGCUGGAGUGCAGUGUCAUGAGCUUGGCUCACUACAGCCUCCAUCUUCUGUGCUUAAGGAUCCUUCCCUCUCAACCUCCAAGGUAGCUGAGACUACAGGCAACAUUCGAAACCCAGGUGCCACUCCUUCAGGAAGGUACCAUCAAGCUCCAAGGACUCAUCCUCUUUCUCCUUCCCCACUACCUAGUCAUUAGAGCGUCAGCAUCCACUUCCUGAAAGGAAGAUGCCUGUUUUUCACAUAUCCCAGAAAGCCUCAUUUUAGGACAGCAUUUAGCAGAGUGUAUUCAGGAUCCCACUAACCUUUUCGGAAGACAUGACUUCCAGAUGAUAUAAGGCAAGAAUAAGAAAUUUCAGUGACAGGGAACAGAAAUCAUAUUUCUGCAUUCAGGAUCAUGUUUUCUUGGCUCCAUCAGGAACUGUGCAGGACUGUGCACUCUGUUGAUACUCACAUGGUGGAAUUAUAUUGCCCUUGGCCAACCCUAAAGCCAUCAAGAUAGCAGGUUUGGAAUAAUUCACUGUCGAAGUCUUCUUGAGCUGAGCAGUCAUGUGAGCUUGGAAGAUGAUCCCUCUCCAGCUGAUCCUUCAGCUCAGGCCAUCAUCUACAUCUGGAUUCCUGACCCGGAGAAACUAUGAGUAAUGUGUGCUGCUUUUGAGCCACUAAGCUACAUGAUGCAAAGCCCAGGACAAAAGGCAGAGAUGCAGAUAAUGUCUCACCCUUCCCAGUACAGUCAGAGGGCACAGUUGGGCUAAGAACUCCACAUAUCCCUUGGACUUACUAUGGCUACAAGCAAGACAAGUCAAAUAAUUAUUACCAAUAUCACAGGAGCAGUUUACAGCCUUAAAGCAUCUAGCUAAAACAGUAUCUGACCUGCUUGACUAUUCAGACAAAAUAUUUAAAUAAUUCUAAAGACAUUUAAAUUUUAUUUUUACCAAAAAUUUUAUGUUUUUGCCUUUUAUUUUAGGUUCGGG